GAGACUGCCGGUGUUAAGCCGGAGGAAGUGGGGAGUGACGUCAAGUCCUCAUGGCCUUUAUGCCCAGGGCUACACACGUGCUACAAUGGGUGGUACAAAGAGAUGCCAACUCGCGAGAGCGCGCCAAUCUCAGAAAGCCAUCCUCAGUUCGGAUUGGAGUCUGCAACUCGACUCCAUGAAGUUGGAAUCGCUAGUAAUCGCGGAUCAGCACGCCGCGGUGAAUACGUUCCCGGGCCUUGU
This 240-nucleotide ribosomal RNA is filed under the name uncultured Smithella sp. Its description in RNAcentral is "partial 16S ribosomal RNA". It matches the Rfam family "Bacterial small subunit ribosomal RNA", at positions 1145 to 1384 of the family's 1533-position model. Lineage: Bacteria; Pseudomonadati; Thermodesulfobacteriota; Syntrophia; Syntrophales; Smithellaceae. The record is from RNAcentral.